GCCGAAAUAGCUCCGGAUUGGGAGAGCGUUAGACUGAAAGAUCUAAAGGUCCCUGGUUCAAUCCGGGUUUCAGCA
RNAcentral lists this transfer RNA (75 nucleotides) under Trichonephila inaurata madagascariensis. It matches the Rfam family "tRNA". From Rfam's summary of the family: Transfer RNA (tRNA) molecules are approximately 80 nucleotides in length. Their secondary structure includes four short double-helical elements and three loops (D, anti-codon, and T loops). Lineage: Eukaryota; Metazoa; Arthropoda; Arachnida; Araneae; Nephilidae. The record is from Rfam by way of RNAcentral.